CCGCGCGCUCCCGGGGCUACCUUGUAGUUCGGCUCUUUAGGAUGGUCCGGGUCGGAGUCGUGUGUAUCUUCAUAGGAAGGAAAAGGAAUUCUGAUCUCAUCAAUAAUCCUGGCCAAAACAAAACACUUUAGUUCCCUAGUUCUGCUGCAGAUAGGGGUUGCUAUGUGACAACAUUUGUGCUCAAGAGACGAAUGUGGAAGUCACUAGGUGGUAAACACUGCCUAUAACUGGAAGCAGACCCAACUUUUUGCCUGUGUUCUUUUCCUCCUUCCAUCCUGGAAGUUGUGCACAUGCCUGGAAAUAGAAUAGUCAUUUUAUAUCCUCUAAAGAUGGAGACCACAAAUUAAGGACGAAAGAACAGAAAGACGGAAUCUCUGUCCCGGUCCUGGACUGCCUACUUCAGACCACUUAUUCUACAUGGAAAAUGAACACCAUACCUGACCAAGCCACUGUGGGUGCAACUCAACACUAUCCCUAACCUAUGCUCUACUUCACAGAACUGGUGAUGAUCCACUGCUAAACUGGGAAUGCACAUCUGGGAAUCCACAUCUGCCUGAAACAUGGCAGGAAGUAACUUGGGAAAGCUGCCCAACCUGCAAAGGAGGACCUUCCCCAGUUGCUGACAUCAGUGAACAAGGAAACUUGUUGCAGUUUAUAUCCAGAUGUCCCCCAAGAGCCUCUUGUGCUCAUAGAUGGCCCUUUUGAAUUAUGAGGGGACUGUAGUUAAA
Chinchilla lanigera (long-tailed chinchilla) is the source of this 728-nucleotide long non-coding RNA. RefSeq lists it as uncharacterized. Lineage: Eukaryota; Metazoa; Chordata; Mammalia; Rodentia; Chinchillidae. The record is from RefSeq and is a predicted model, not a curated record. The transcript has 3 exons.